Molecule: ribosomal RNA, 459 nt
Filed under: uncultured bacterium
Lineage: Bacteria
Description: partial 16S ribosomal RNA
Rfam family: Bacterial small subunit ribosomal RNA
Source: RNAcentral
CCUACGGGAUGCAGCAGUGGGGAAUAUUGCACAAUGGGCGGAAGCCUGAACCAGCCAAGUCGCGUGAGGGAAUAAGGCCCUACGGGUCGUAAACCUCUUUUGCCGGGGAGCAAGGGCCGGGACGAGUCCCGGUCCGGAGAGUACCCGGAGAAAAAGCAUCGGCUAACUCCGUGCCAGCAGCCGCGGUAAUACGGAGGAUGCGAGCGUUAUCCGGAUUUAUUGGGUUUAAAGGGUGCGUAGGCGGGCUUUUAAGUCAGCGGUAAAAAUUCGGGGCUCAACCCCGUCCGGCCGUUGAAACUGGGGGCCUUGAGUGGGCGAGAAGAAGGCGGAAUGCGUGGUGUAGCGGUGAAAUGCAUAGAUAUCACGCAGAACCCCGAUUGCGAAGGCAGCCUUCCGGCGCCCUACUGACGCUGAGGCACGAAAGUGCGGGGAUCGAACAGGAUUAGAUACCCCAGUAGU